RNAcentral lists this ribosomal RNA (253 nucleotides) under uncultured bacterium. RNAcentral describes it as "partial 16S ribosomal RNA". It matches the Rfam family "Bacterial small subunit ribosomal RNA", at positions 524 to 776 of the family's 1533-position model. The record is from RNAcentral.
UACGUAGGGGGCAAGCGUUGUCCGGAUUUACUGGGCGUAAAGAGCGCGUAGGCGGAAGCUUAAGCGUGGCCUGAAAGCCCCCGGCUCAACCGGGGAGGGUGGCUGCGAACUGGGCUUCUUGAGGUCGAUAGAGGAGAGCGGAAUUCCUGGUGUAGCGGUGAAAUGCGUAGAUAUCAGGAGGAACACCGGUGGCGAAGGCGGCUCUCUGGGUCGGACCUGACGCUGAGGCGCGAAAGCUAGGGUAGCAAACGGG